Molecule: non-coding RNA, 2543 nt
Organism: Physcomitrium patens
Lineage: Eukaryota; Viridiplantae; Streptophyta; Bryopsida; Funariales; Funariaceae
Source: RefSeq, a predicted model, not a curated record
GCACAUAUUGAAUUACUCUAUUUCAGUUAUUACUUUCGUUCAUCGUUGUUUAUUUAUUCAUUGGGGGCGGUUUUUGCUGGGACGAUAGUGGGGUAACGAUUGUGCAUUGAGAUGUUGAGGGUUCGAGGAGCCGAAGAGCACUGAGCAGUCGUGGUGGAGUGGUUACAAAUUUUCUGAGCCUUGGAUGACGAGCUGGAUCAUGUUUUUUGAUGACUGCAGUUCAAUUUUUUUUUUAGAGAAACAUGCAGAAUUCGAAAUUGAUUAAAAAGCAAUUAGUGGAGUAGCGGGCGUUUAUGCUGUCAUGGCGCUGAACGGGACUAACCUCGGUGCAGACGUGUCGAUCUUGUUCAGAGGAGUUGCAGCAUUGGGGGAUAUUGAAAUGGGAAUGGAAAUGGAACAUACUGGCAGCAUAACAAAUCAUGAGUUCUCUGUGUAGUGCAAACCCUCUCGAAGCAGUAGACCAGCGUACACCCACCCCUGCGAUGAUGAAACAGAGUAUCUCUCCAGGCAGACAUUACAUUGAAGCCUAAGUUCGACAGAGAGCAGUACUUUUACCCUGAUCUUGUUCAGAGGAGUUGCUGCAUCUCGCAAUUUAGCAUUCCUACCGUCGAGAGGGGCUACAUCGAUGUCGACUUGUCUGUGGAGUUUGGCGGCGGCCAUAGCUGAAUUUUGGGUUGCUCAGGUUUUCAGAAGAUGCUGGCAAACUGAUUCACGCUGCAAAUGACCAUCUCUCUGACUCCUCCUUAUCCCAGGUGUGUACCCUGAAGUCUAUGGCUGAAUCCUAAAAACCCUGAUGCUGGGGGAAGUAAGAACAAUUUGGAGACUUUCCCACUUCAGAGCUUAAAAUUCGUCUUUUCAGGUGGAUUCUAAUCGGGCUGGUGUGACUCUGUUGGAAGUAGUUUCGGAGUCACAGAUGCAAAAUGCACUUGAAGUAACAGAGUAUGCAGCAGAAGUGCAGUGAAUGGUGCGAUACUUGGGUAUCAGCAAUGGAAGCGUGCAGGUGGGUUUGAUGCGAUGCUAUGUCAGAAUGCCGAUGCCCAAGAGUGGAUCCCGGUUUGGUACCUAUGCUCUUUUUGUCCCUGUGUGACAUUUUGUUUUUCUGUUUCGGGAUGGAUGCAAUUUUUAGCUUAAAAAACAAGAAUGGAAGCUUUCAGCAUGGCAAAAAAUUUGCGGUCCUACAACUCGAGUAUCGGUAGGGAUAACGUUCAAGCUCGGCAGCAACGAUUCUUUUGUGAGAUAUAGUGUCUGGUGCCCAGCAGUCACAUGGUUCUGAGUCUUAGUCGAGAACACUUUUCAUGGAAGUAGAUGAGAAGACCAGACAAUCAGAAUAUGAGUUACAGCAGGUUUGCAGUUGAUCUUACUGGGCUCUUCAUGGCCUCUUAAAUGGAAGUAAUGUCGCUAAAUGCUGAUCGUGAGCAACGUUGCAGCACCAGGAAGUUACUUGUAGGCUUAAGCAUGAUCUCAGUGCGAACUUGUACCAGAAUUGCCACUUCAAGUCCAACCAUCUUAUUUCAGGAAUAUAUAGAUGCAACCAAGGAAAUACUACCUGGGCUUCUUAAUAUCGAACGCCGCUACCAUGAGAGCUUAUGCCCCUCUUUGCAAGACAUUUGUGCUUGGAAAUGAUCGUGACGUUUUACUGGAUCUUGUUGAGAAAGGAGGCAUUGCGAAGGAGGUCGUUGUUUUAAGUCUCAGCCAGGUUGUUCCUCGAUGGUUUUAAAGCAAGUUCCUUGUUAAAACUGGAAGCAGAUACGCACAAUGCAUUUCCAAAGCUACAAGUGGACUUCCAAUCAAAAGUGUUUGCAGCGUGGAAAAUUACUUAGAUAUGAUUUCAAGCAUUUCAAUCACUGGAUUAUACCAAGUGAUUUCGGCGAAACUGGUGUGAAGUCGUCUACGCACUCCUAAUCGACAAGAACUCAAUAGUGAGCAACAAAUACAAAUGGGGAGGAAAACUGUGUCUUAACGCUCAUGCGGUAGCACGGCACAGCGUGCGGAAGGAAGACGUUCUUUUGAGCUAAAUCGCCCCCAUUGACAGAUCCAAUGUGGAGAUGACCGCUGUUUAGAUAAAGGUCAUGGAUUCAAACCUCUGAAAAGUCAGCAUCUGAGUAGACGCUAAGUCAGAUCAGUCGCCCAAGCAGUCAGAAAGGCCGACAUAAACCUCCUUAGAUUACAGGUCAUGCACUUACCCAUACCUUGGCCCCCAUCGUAAAGACCUGUCUUGCACCUAUUUCCCACACUGCUGGAUUAUGUCAAACUAGCUGAGAGUGGGUCCAGCUCAGCGGCCGGCUCUGCUGCAGUAAUAGUAGCAGUAGGCAUGCAGCACACCACUGUCUGUUCACUUGUUCAAAUCCCUAUUACUCUUAAGCGUUGCUGAAAAGUUCAGCGAAUGCUUGAGAGAGCUGUGAACAAUUUCCUGCCCUGUCUCCUGUGUGUUGAACACUCGCAUGAUUUGUGUGCACUAUGACCGAUCAAGCCUUGUUCACAUUGUCAUCUUUGAUGCGGCUAUUCAGCAGCCUCAAAAGCCAUAUGAACUCCACCAAGGUUUA